AUGGCAACCUCGCCGGUGUGUUCAAUUUGCAAUGCUGCAGUCGAUACUUGGCGACAUUCGUUAUUUGAGUGCCGGAUGGCCAGGUGCGUCUGGGCACUUGGUGAUGAAGAGAUUUUGGAGCAUAUAAUUUCAAAUCAAACUGAAGACGCUCGUCUAUGGCUCUUUUGGCUCUUCGAAACAAUGAAUCAAGAGGAUCUGGCUCGGGUUCUGGUUACCCUUUGGGCAAUAUGGUGGGCGAGGAGACGAGCCAUUCAUGUUCCGCCAGAACAGCGCCGAAGGACGAACAAAUGGAUUCCUCCAGAAGGAAACAGUUUGAAGAUCAAUGUUGAUGGGGGACUGUCACGCAACGGCAAGUCAGGUGCAGCAGUGGCGAUUUGCAGAGAUAAGGCGGGACAAUUCUUGGGAGCCUCAGCCGUCAUCUUCGACGGACUGACAGACCCUGCGAGCCUAGAAGCUCAUGCAUGCAACGAGGCGAUGGCACUAGCCCAAGACCUGAACCUCCGAGAUGUGGUGAUUGGCUCAGACUGCUUAGAGGUGGUAACUAGUAUCAAAAAGGGAGCAACAUCAGUUUAUGCACCAAUUCUGAAUAAGAUACACCAUCGUAGUCAGGAGUUUCAGCAAGUGCAGUUUCUGUUUGAGCCCCGUGAAGCAAAUUUCGAAGCUCGCUUGUUAGCUAAAGCUGCAUCUUCUCUUGCAGCUGGUAGACAUAUGUGGCUAGGAGUGUUCCGAACAUUAUUUGUAUUCCACAUUUUUUGCAUAUUGAAUAAAUUCCCUGGUUCACCUAAAAAAAAAAAGCUUCGACACUGUAGCCGCUAA
RNAcentral lists this ribosomal RNA (816 nucleotides) under Triticum aestivum (bread wheat). Its description in RNAcentral is "partial small subunit ribosomal RNA". Lineage: Eukaryota; Viridiplantae; Streptophyta; Magnoliopsida; Poales; Poaceae. The record is from RNAcentral.